This 732-nucleotide ribosomal RNA is filed under the name Kribbella sp. YIM 65609. Its description in RNAcentral is "bacterial SSU rRNA". It matches the Rfam family "Bacterial small subunit ribosomal RNA", at positions 56 to 803 of the family's 1533-position model. Lineage: Bacteria; Bacillati; Actinomycetota; Actinomycetes; Propionibacteriales; Kribbellaceae. The record is from RNAcentral. RNAcentral also lists the same sequence under 1 other name.
UGCAAGUCGAGCGGUAAGGCCCCUUCGGGGGUACACGAGCGGCGAACGGGUGAGUAACACGUGAGCAACCUACCCUCAACUUUGGGAUAAGCCUCGGAAACGGGGUCUAAUACCGGAUAAUACUGACUGUCUCAUGAUGGUUGGUUGAAAGUUCUGGCGGUUGGGGAUGGGCUCGCGGCCUAUCAGCUUGUUGGUGGGGUAAUGGCCUACCAAGGCGUCGACGGGUAGCCGGCCUGAGAGGGCGACCGGCCACACUGGGACUGAGACACGGCCCAGACUCCUACGGGAGGCAGCAGUGGGGAAUAUUGCGCAAUGGACGAAAGUCUGACGCAGCAACGCCGCGUGAGGGAUGACGGCCUUCGGGUUGUAAACCUCUUUCAGCAGGGACGAAGCGAGAGUGACGGUACCUGCAGAAGAAGGACCGGCCAACUACGUGCCAGCAGCCGCGGUAAUACGUAGGGUCCGAGCGUUGUCCGGAAUUAUUGGGCGUAAAGGGCUCGUAGGCGGUUCGUCACGUCGGGAGUGAAAACUCGGGGCUUAACCCCGAGCCUGCUUCCGAUACGGGCAGACUAGAGGUAGGCAGGGGAGAGCGGAACUCCUGGUGUAGCGGUGGAAUGCGCAGAUAUCAGGAAGAACACCGGUGGCGAAGGCGGCUCUCUGGGCCUUACCUGACGCUGAGGAGCGAAAGCGUGGGUAGCGAACAGGAUUAGAUACCCUGGUAGUCCACGCCGU